Xyrichtys novacula (pearly razorfish) is the source of this 15583-nucleotide non-coding RNA. NCBI's taxonomy places the organism in Eukaryota, Metazoa, Chordata, Actinopteri, Labriformes, Labridae. The record is from the annotation of a GenBank genome assembly.
CUUAGGGUUUGGGUUAGGGUUAGGGUUGGAGCUAGGGUUAGGGUUAGGGUUAAGGUUGGAGCUAGGGUUAGGGUUAGAGGGUUAGGAUUAGGGUGGAGCUAGGGUUAGGGUUAGGGUUAGAGCUAGGGUUAGGGUUGGGGCUAGGGUUGGGGUUAGGGUUAAGGUUGGAGCUAGGGUUAGGGUUAGGGUUAGGGUUGGAGCCAGGGUUAGGGUUAGGGUUGGAGUUAGGGUUAGUGUUGGAGCUAGGGUUAGGGUUGGGCUUGGAGCUAGGAUUUUUCUGAGUGCAAUGAACCAACUCCCGAGUCUCUAGGACGUUCCUAAAAAAAUUGGAUUUUUUCCCAUAGGAAUGCAUGGGAAAAAAAAUUUGAAAAAUUUUUUAAGUGCCAACCCAAUUUUUCACCUUCCAUAAUUGUGUUAGGAGCACGUUUCAGGGCACGGGGAGUCUAUAGAACCUAAUUAUGGGGGAAGUUUUUUGCAAAGUUUACUUAGGGCUUGGGUUAGGGUUAGGGUUGGAGCUAGGGUUAGGGUUAGGGUUAAGGUUGGAGCUAGGGUUAGGGUUAGGGUUAGGAUUAGGGUGGAGCUAGGGUUAGGGUUAGGGUUAGAGCUAGGGUUAGGGUUGGGGCUAGGGUUAGGGUUAGGGUUAGGGUUAAGGUUGGAGCUAGGGUUAGGGUUAGGGUUAGGGUUGGAGCCAGGGUUAGGGUUAGGGUUAGGGUUGGAGUUAGGGUUAGUGUUGGAGCUAGGGUUAGGGUUGGGCUUGGAGCUAGGAUUUUUCUGAGUGCAAUGAACCAACUCCCGAAUCUCUAGGACGUUCCUAAAAAAAAUUGAUUUUUUCCCAUAGGAAUGCAUGGGUUAGGUUUAGGGUUAGGGUUGGAGCUAGGGUUAGGGUUAGGGUUAGGGUUGGAGUUAGGGUUAGUGUUGGAGCUAGGGUUAGGGUUGGGCUUGGAGCUAGGAUUUUUCUGAGUGCAAUGAACCAACUCCCGAGUCUCUAGGACGUUCCUAAAAAAAAUAGAUUUUUUUCCCAUAGGAAUGCAUGGGUUAGGGUUAGGGUUAGGGUUAGGGUUGGAGCUAGGGUUAGGGUUAGGGUUGGAGUUGGAGUUAGGGUUAGUGUUGGAGCUAGGGUUAGGGGUGGGCUUGGAGCUAGGAUUUUUCUGAGUGUAAUGAACCAACUCCCGAAUCUCUAGGACGUUCCUAAAAAAAUUUGAUUUUUUCCCAUAGGAAUGCAUGGGUUAGGUUUAGGGUUAGGGUUGGAGCUAGGGUUAGGAUUAGGGUUAGGGUUGGAGUUAGGGUUAGUGUUGGAGCUAGGGUUAGGGUUGGGCUUGGAGCUAGGAUUUUUCUGAGUGCAAUGAACCAACUCCCGAGUCUCUAGGAUGUUCCUACAAAAAUUUGAUUUUUUCCCAUAGGAAUGCAUGGGUUAGGGUUAGGGUUAGGGUUGGAGCUAGGGUUAGGGUUAGGGUUAGGGUUGGAGUUAGGGUUAGUGUUGGAGCUAGGGUUAGGGUUGGGCUUGGAGCUAGGAUUUUUCUGAGUGCAAUGAACCAACUCCCGAAUCUCUAGGACGUUCCUAAAAAAAUUUGAUUUUUUCCCAUAGGAAUGCAUGGGUUAGGUUUAGGGUUAGGGUUGGAGCUAGGGUUAGGGUUAGGGUUGGAGUUAGGGUUAAUGUUGGAGCUAGGGUUAAGGGAUGGGCUUGGAGCUAGGAUUUUUCUGAGUGCAAUGAACCAACUCCCGAGUCUCUAGGACGUUCCUAAAAAAAUUAAUUUUAUCCCAUAGGAAUGCAUGGGUUAGGUUUAGGGUUAGGGUUGGCGCUAGGGUUAGGGUUAGGGUUAGGGUUGGAGUUAGGGUUAGUGUUGGAGCUAGGGUUAGGGUUGGGCUUGGAGCUAGGAUUUUUCUGAGUGCAAUGAACCAACUCCCGAGUCUCUAGGACGUUCCUAAAAAAAAAUGAUUUUUUCCCAUAGGAAUGCAUGGGUUAGGGUUAGGGUUAGGGUUGGAGCUAGGGUUAGGGUUAGGGUUAGGGUUGGAGUUAGGGUUAGUGUUGGAGCUAGGGUUAGGGUUGGGCUUGGAGGUAGGAUUUUUCUGAGUGCAAUGAACCAACUCCCGAGUCUCUAGGAUGUUCCUACAAAAAUUUGAUUUUUUCCCAUAGGAAUGCAUGGGUUAGGGUUAGGGUUAGGGUUGGAGCUAGGGUUAGGGUUAGGGUUAGGGUUGGAGUUAGGGUUAGUGUUGGAGCUAGGGUUAGGGUUGGGCUUGGAGCUAGGAUUUUUCUGAGUGCAAUGAACCAACUCCCGAGUCUCUAGGACGUUCCUAAAAAUGAUUUUUUCCCAUAGGAAUGCAUGGGUUAGGGUUAGGGUUAGGGUUGGAGCUAGGGUUAGGGUUAGGGUUAGGGUUGGAGUUAGGGUUAGUGUUGGAGCUAGGGUUAGGGUUUGGCUUGGAGCUAGGAUUUUUCUGAGUGCAAUGAACCAACUCCCGAGUCUCUAGGACGUUCCUAAAAAAAUUGAUUUUUUCCCAUAGGAAUGCAUGGGUUAGGGUUAGGGUUAGGGUUGGAGUUAGGGUUGGAGCUAGGGUUAGGGUUAGGGUUAGGGUUGGAGUUAGGGUUAGUGUUGGAGCUAGGGUUAGGGUUGGGCUUGGAGCUAGGAUUUUUCUGAGUGUAAUGAACCAACUCCCGAGUCUCUAGGACGUUCCUAAAAAAAUUUGUUUUUUUUCCCAUAGGAAUGCAUGGGUUAGGGUUAGGGUUGGAGCUAGGGUUAGGGUUAGGGUUAGGGUUGGAGUUAGGGUUAGUGUUGGAGCUAGGGUUAGGGUUGGGCUUGGAGCUAGGAUUUUUCUGAGUGCAAUGAACCAACUCCCGAGUCUCUUGGACGUUCCUAAAAAAAAAUAGAUUUUUUCCCAUAGGAAUGCAUGGGUUAGGGUUAGGGUUAGGGUUGGAGCUAGGGUUAGGGUUAGGGUUAGGGUUGGAGUUAGGGUUAGUGUUGGAGCUAGGGUUAGGGUUGGGCUUGGAGCUAGGAUUUUUCUGAGUGCAAUGAACCAAGUGCCAACCCAAUUUUUGACCUUCCAGAAUGGUGUUAGGAGCACGUUUCAGGGCACGGGGAGUCUAUAGAACCUAAUUCUGGGGGAAGUUAUUCGAAAAGUUUACUUAGGGUUUGGGUUAGGGUUUGGGUUGGAGCUAGGGUUAGGGUUAGGGUUAAGGUUGGAGCUAGGGUUAGGGUUAGGGUUAGGAUUAGGGUGGAGCUAGGGUUAGGGUUAGGGUUAGAGCUAGGGUUAGGGUUGGGGCUAGGGUUAGGGUUAGGGUUAAGGUUGGAGCUAGGGUUAGGGUUUGGGUUAGGGUUGGAGCCAGGGUUAGGGUUAGGGUUGGAGUUAGGGUUAGUGUUGGAGCUAGGGUUAGGGUUGGGCUUGGAGCUAGGAUUUUUCUGAGUGCAAUGAACCAACUCCCGAGUCUCUAGGACGUUCCUAAAAAAAUUUGAUUUUUUUCCCAUAGGAAUACAUGGGUUAGGGUUAGGGUUAGGGUUGGAGCUAGGGUUAGGGUUAGGGUUAGGGUUGGAGUUAGGGUUAGUGUUGGAGCUAGGGUUAGGGUUGGGCUUGGAGCUAGGAUUUUUCUGAGUGCAAUGAACCAACUCCCGAGUCUCUAGGACGUUCCUAAAAAAAAUUGAUUUUUUCCCAUAGGAAUGCAUGGGUUAGGGUUAGGGUUAGGGUUGGAGCUAGGGUCAGGGUUAGGGUUAGGGUUGGAGUUAGGGUUAGUGUUGGAGCUAGGGUUAGGGUUGGGCUUGGAGCUAGGAUUUUUCUGAGUGUAAUGAACCAACUCCCGAGUCUCUAGGACGUUCCUAAAAAAAAUUGAUUUUUUUCCCAUAGGAAUGCAUGGGUUAGGUUUAGGGUUAGGGUUGGAGCUAGGGUUAGGGUUAGGGUUAGGGUUGGAGUUAGGGUUAGUGUUGGAGCUAGGGUUAGGGUUGGGCUUGGAGCUAGGAUUUUUCUGAGUGCAAUGAACCAACUCCCGAGUCUCUAGGAUGUUCCUACAAAAAUUUGAUUUUUUCCCAUAGGAAUGCAUGGGUUAGGGUUAGGGUUAGGGUUGGAGCUAGGGUUAGGGUUAGGGUUAGGGUUGGAGUUAGGGUUAGUGUUGGAGCUAGGGUUAGGGUUGGGCUUGGAGCUAGGAUUUUUCUGAGUGCAAUGAACCAACUCCCGAGUCUCUAGGACGUUCCUAAAAAAAAUAGAUUUUUUUCCCAUAGGAAUGCAUGGGUUAGGGUUAGGGUUAGGGUUAGGGUUGGAGCUAGGGUUAGGGUUAGGGUUAGGGUUGGAGUUAGGGUUAGUGUUGGAGCUAGGGUUAGGGUUGGGCUUGGAGCUAGGAUUUUUCUGAGUGCAAUGAACCAACUCCCGAAUCUCUAGGACGUUCCUAAAAAAAUUUCAUUUUUUCCCAUAGGAAUGCAUGGGUUAGGUUUAGGGUUAGGGUUGGAGCUAGGGUUAGGGUUAGGGUUAGGGUUGGAGUUAGGGUUAAUGUUGGAGCUAGGGUUAAGGGAUGGGCUUGGAGCUAGGAUUUUUCUGAGUGCAAUGAACCAACUCCCGAGUCUCUAGGACGUUCCUAAAAAAAUUGAUUUUUUUCCCAUAGGAAUGCAUGGGUUAGGUUUAGGGUUAGGGUUGGCGCUAGGGUUAGGGUUAGGGUUAGGGUUGGAGUUAGGGUUAGUGUUGGAGCUAGGGUUAGGGUUGGGCUUGGAGCUAGGAUUUUUCUGAGUGCAAUGAACCAACUCCCGAGUCUCUAGGACGUUCCUAAAAAAAGAUUUUUUCCCAUAGGAAUGCAUGGGUUAGGGUUAGGGUUAGGGUUGGAGCUAGGGUUAGGGUUAGGGUUAGGGUUGGAGUUAGGGUUAGUGUUGGAGCUAGGGUUAGGGUUGGGCUUGGAGCUAGGAUUUUUCUGAGUGCAAUGAACCAACUCCCGAGUCUCUAGGACGUUCCUAAAAAAUUUGAUUUUUUCCCAUAGGAAUGCAUGGGUUAGGGUUAGGGUUAGGGUUGGAGCUAGGGUUAGGGUUAGGGUUAGGGUUGGAGUUAGGGUUAGUGUUGCAGCUAGGGUUAGGGUUGGGCUUGGAGCUAGGAUUUUUCUGAGUGCAAUGAACCAACUCCCGAGUCUCUAGGACGUUCCUAAAAAAAAUAGAUUUUUUUCCCAUAGGAAUGCAUGGGUUAGGGUUAGGGUUAGGGUUGGAGCUAGGGUUAGGGUUAGGGUUAGGGUUGGAGUUAGGGUUAGUGUUGGAGCUAGGGUUAGGGUUGGGCUUGGAGCUAGGAUUUUUCUGAGUGCAAUGAACCAACUCCCGAGUCUCUAGGGCGUUCCUAAAAAGAUUUGAUUUUUUCCCAUAGGAAUGCAUGGGUUAGGGUUAGGGUUAGGGUUAGGGUUGGAGUUAGGGUUAGGGUUGGAGUUAGGGUUAGUGUUGGAGCUAGGGUUAGGGUUGGGCUUGGAGCUAGGAUUUUUCUGAGUGCAAUGAACCAACUCCCGAGUCUCUAGGACGUUCUUAAAAAAAUUGAUUUUUUUCCCAUAGGAAUGCAUGGGUUAGGGUUAGGGUUAGGGUUGGAGCUAGGGUUAGGGUUAGGGUUAGGGUUGGAGUUAGGGUUAGUGUUGGAGCUAGGGUUAGGGUUGGGCUUGGAGCUAGGAUUUUUCUGAGUGCAAUGAACCAACUCCCGAGUCUCUAGGACGUUCCUAAAAAAAUUUGAUUUUUUUUCCCAUAGGAAUGCAUGGGUUAGGGUUAGGGUUAGGGUUGGAGCUAGGGUUAGGGUUAGGGUUAGGGUUGGAGUUAGGGUUAGUGUUGGAGCUAGGGUUAGGGUUGGGCUUGGAGCUAGGAUUUUUCUGAGUGCAAUGAACCAACUCCCGAGUCUCUUGGACGUUCCUAAAAAAAAUUGAUUUUUUCCCAUAGGAAUGCAUGGGUUAGGGUUAGGGUUAGGGUUGGAGCUAGGGUUAGGGUUAGGGUUAGGGUUGGAGUUAGGGUUAGUGUUGGAGCUAGGGUUAGGGUUGGGCUUGGAGCUAGGAUUUUUCUGAGUGCAAUGAACCAACUCCCGAGUCUCUAGGGCGUUCCUAAAAAAAUUUGAUUUUUUCCCAUAGGAAUGCAUGGGUUAGGGUUAGGGUUAGGGUUAGGGUUGGAGCUAGGGUUAGGGUUAGGGUUAGGGUUGGAGUUAGGGUUAGUGUUGGAGCUAGGGUUAGGGUUGGGCUUGGAGCUAGGAUUUUUCUGAGUGCAAUGAACCAACCAACCCAAUUUUUGACCUUCCAGAAUUGUGUUAGGAGCACGUUUCAGGGCACGGGAGUCUAUAGAACCUAAUUCUGGGAGUUAUUCAAAAGUUUACUUGGGUUUGGGUUAGGGUUUGGGUUGGAGCUAGGGUUAGGGUUAGGGUUAGGGUUGGAGUUAGGGUUAGGGUUAGGGUUGGAGGGUGGAGCUAGGGUUAGGGUUGGGCUUGGAGCUAGGAUUUUUCUGAGUGCAUGAACCAACUCCCGAGUCUCUAGGGUUCCUAAAAAUUGAUUUUUUCCCAUAGGAGCAUGGGUUAGGGUUAGGGUUAGGGUUGGAGCUAGGGUUAGGGUUAGGGUUAGGGUUGGAGUUAGGGUUAGUGUUGGAGCUAGGGUUAGGGUUGGGCUUGGAGCUAGGAUUUUUCUGAGUGCAAUGAACCAACUCCCGAGUCUCUAGGACGUUCCUAAAAAAAUUUGAUUUUUUUCCCAUAGGAAUGCAUGGGUUAGGGUUAGGGUUAGGGUUGGAGCUAGGGUUAGGGUUAGGGUUAGGGUUGGAGUUAGGGUUAGUGUUGGAGCUAGGGUUAGGGUUGGGCUUGGAGCUAGGAUUUUUCUGAGUGCAAUGAACCAACUCCCGAGUCUCUAGGACGUUCCUAAAAAAAUUUGAUUUUUUUCCCAUAGGAAUGCAUGGGUUAGGGUUAGGGUUAGGGUUAGGGUUGGAGCUAGGGUUAGGGUUAGGGUUAGGGUUGGAGUUAGGGUUAGUGUUGGAGCUAGGGUUAGGGUUGGGCUUGGAGCUAGGAUUUUUCUGAGUGCAAUGAACCAACUCCCGAGUCUCUAGGACGUUCCUAAAAAAAUUUGAUUUUUUCCCAUAGGAAUGCAUGGGUUAGGGUUAGGGUUAGGGUUAGGGUUGGGUUGGAGCUAGGGUUAGGGUUAGGGUUAGGGUUGGAGUUAGGGUUAGUGUUGGAGCUAGGGUUAGGGUUGGGCUUGGAGCUAGGAUUUUUCUGAGUGCAAUGAACCAACUCCCGAGUCUCUAGGACGUUCCUAAAGAAAAUUUGAUUUUUUUCCCAUAGGAAUGCAUGGGUUAGGGUUAGGGUUAGGGUUGGAGCUAGGGUUAGGGUUAGGGUUAGGGUUGGAGUUAGGGUUAGUGUUGGAGCUAGGGUUAGGGUUGGGCUUGGAGCUAGGAUUUUUCUGAGUGCAAUGAACCAACUCCCGGGUUCUAGGGUUCCUAAAAAAUUUGAUUUUUUCCCAUAGGAAUGCAUGGGUUAGGGUUAGGGUUAGGGUUGGAGCUAGGGUUAGGGUUAGGGUUAGGGUUGGAGUUAGGGUUAGUGUUGGAGCUAGGGUUAGGGUUGGGCUUGGAGCUAGGAUUUUUCUGAGUGCAAUGAACCAACUCCCGAGUCUCUAGGACGUUCCUAAAAAAUUUGAUUUUUUUCCCAUAGGAAUGCAUGGGUUAGGGUUAGGGUUAGGGUUGGAGCUAGGGUUAGGGUUAGGGUUAGGGUUGGAGUUAGGGUUAGUGUUGGAGCUAGGGUUAGGGUUGGGCUUGGAGCUAGGAUUUUUCUGAGUGCAAUGAACCAACUCCCGAGUCUCUAGGACGUUCCUAAAAAAAUUUGAUUUUUUUCCCAUAGGAAUGCAUGGGUUAGGGUUAGGGUUAGGGUUGGAGCUAGGGUUAGGGUUAGGGUUAGGGUUGGAGUUAGGGUUAGUGUUGGAGCUAGGGUUAGGGUUGGGCUUGGAGCUAGGAUUUUUCUGAGUGUAAUGAACCAACUCCCGAGUCUCUAGGACGUUCCUAAAAAAAAUUGUUUUUUUUCCCAUAGGAAUGCAUGGGUUAGGGUUAGGGUUAGGGUUGGAGCUAGGGUUAGGGUUAGGGUUAGGGUUGGAGUUAGGGUUAGUGUUGGAGCUAGGGUUAGGGUUGGGCUUGGAGCUAGGAUUUUUCUGAGUGCAAUGAACCAACUCCCGAGUCUCUAGGACGUUCCUAAAAAAAAUUGAUUUUUUCCCAUAGGAAUGCAUGGGUUAGGGUUAGGGUUAGGGUUGGAGCUAGGGUUAGGGUUAGGGUUAGGGUUGGAGUUAGGGUUAGUGUUGGAGCUAGGGUUAGGGUUGGGCUUGGAGCUAGGAUUUUUCUGAGUGUAAUGAACCAACUCCCGAGUCUCUAGGACGUUCCUAAAAAAAAUUGAUUUUUUCCCAUAGGAAUGCAUGGGUUAGGGUUAGGGUUAGGGUUGGAGCUAGGGUUAGGGUUAGGGUUAGGGUUAGGGUUGGAGUUAGGGUUAGUGUUGGAGCUAGGGUUAGGGUUGGGCUUGGAGCUAGGAUUUUUCUGAGUGCAAUGAACCAAGUGCCAACCCAAUUUUUGACCUUCCAGAAUUGUGUUAGGAGCACGUUUCAGGUCACGGGGAGUCUAUAGAACCUAAUUCUGGGGGAAGUUUUUUGAAAAGUUUACUUAGGGUUUGGGUUAGGGUUAGGGUUGGAGCUAGGGUUAGGGUUAGGGUUAGGGUUGGAGCCAGGGUUAGGGUUAGGGUUGGAGUUAGGGUUAGUGUUGGAGCUAGGGUUAGGGUUGGGCUUGGAGCUAGGAUUUUUCUGAGUGUAAUGAACCAACUCCCGAGUCUCUAGGACGUUCCUAAAAAAAUUUGUUUUUUUUCCCAUAGGAAUGCAUGGGUUAGGGUUAGGGUUAGGGUUGGAGCUAGGGUUAGGGUUAGGGUUAGGGUUGGAGUUAGGGUUAGUGUUGGAGCUAGGGUUAGGGUUGGGCUUGGAGCUAGGAUUUUUCUGAGUGCAAUGAACCAACUCCCGAGUCUCUUGGACGUUCCUAAAAAAAAAUAGAUUUUUUCCCAUAGGAAUGCAUGGGUUAGGGUUAGGGUUAGGGUUGGAGCUAGGGUUAGGGUUAGGGUUAGGGUUGGAGUUAGGGUUAGUGUUGGAGCUAGGGUUAGGGUUGGGCUUGGAGCUAGGAUUUUUCUGAGUGCAAUGAACCAACUCCCGAGUCUCUAGGGCGUUCCUAAAAAAAUUUGAUUUUUCACCAUAGGAAUGCAUGGGUUAGGGUUAGGGUUAGGGUUAGGGUUAGGGUUGGAGCUAGGGUUAGGGUUAGGGUUAGGGUUGGAGUUAGGGUUAGUGUUGGAGCUAGAGUUAGGGUUGGGCUUGGAGCUAGGAUUUUUCUGAGUGCAAUGAACCAAGUGCCAACCCAAUUUUUGACCUUCCUAAAAAUUUGAUUUUUUCCCAUAGGAAUGCAUGGGUUAGGGUUACGGGUUAGGUUGACUAUUAGGGUUAGGGUUAGGGUUGGAGUUAGGGUUAGUGUUGGAGCUAGGGUUAGGGUUGGGCUUGGAGCUAGGAUUUUUCUGAGUGCAAUUCCGAGUCUCUAGGACGUUCCUAAAAAAUUUGAUUUUUUCCCAUAGGAAUGCUUAGGGUUAGGGUUGGAUUAGGGUGGGCUAGGGUUGGUAGGGUUAGAGCUAGGGUUAGGGUUGGGGCUAGGGUAGGGUUAGGGUUAAGGUUGGAGCUAGGGUUAGGGUUAGGGUUAGGGUUGGAGCAGGGUUAGGGUUAGGGUUGGAGUUAGGGUUAGUGUUGGAGCUAGGGUUAGGGUUGGGCUUGGAGCUAGGAUUUUUCUGAGUGCAAUGAACCAACUCCCGAGUCUCUAGGACGUUCCUAAAAAAAUUUGAUUUUUUUUCCCAUAGGAAUGCAUGGGUUAGGGUUAGGGUUAGGGUUGGAGCUAGGGUUAGGGUUAGGGUUAGGGUUGGAGUUAGGGUUAGUGUUGGAGCUAGGGUUAGGGUUGGGCUUGGAGCUAGGAUUUUUCUGAGUGUAAUGAACCAACUCCCGAGUCUCUAGGACGUUCCUAAAAAAAUUUGAUUUUUUUCCCAUAGGAAUGCAUGGGUUAGGGUUAGGGUUAGGGUUGGAGCUAGGGUUAGGGUUAGGGUUAGGGUUAGGGUUGGAGUUAGGGUUAGUGUUGGAGCUAGGGUUAGGGUUGGGCUUGGAGCUAGGAUUUUUCUGAGUGUAAUGAACCAACUCCCGAGUCUCUAGGACGUUCCUAAAAAAAUUUGUUUUUUUUCCCAUAGGAAUGCAUGGGUUAGGGUUAGGGUUAGGGUUGGAGCUAGGGUUAGGGUUAGGGUUAGGGUUGGAGUUAGGGUUAGUGUUGGAGCUAGGGUUAGGGUUGGGCUUGGAGCUAGGAUUUUUCUGAGUGCAAUGAACCAAGUGCCAACCCAAUUUUUGACCUUCCAGAAUUGUGUUAGGAGCACGUUUCAGGUCACGGGGAGUCUAUAGAACCUAAUUCUGGGGGAAGUUUUUUGAAAAGUUUACUUAGGGUUUGGGUUAGGGUUAGGGUUGGAGCUAGGGUUAGGGUUAGGGUUAAGGUUGGAGCUAGGGUUAGGGUUAGGGUUAGGAUUAGGGUGGAGCUAGGGUUAGGGUUAGGGUUAGAGCUAGGGUUAGGGUUGGGGCUAGGGUUGGGGUUAGGGUUAAGGUUGGAGCUAGGGUUAGGGUUAGGGUUAGGGUUGGAGCCAGGGUUAGGGUUAGGGUUGGAGUUAGGGUUAGUGUUGGAGCUAGGGUUAGGGUUGGGCUUGGAGCUAGGAUUUUUCUGAGUGCAAUGAACCAACUCCCGAGUCUCUAGGACGUUCCUAAAAAAAUUGGAUUUUUUCCCAUAGGAAUGCAUGGGAAAAAAAAUUUGAAAAAUUUUUUAAGUGCCAACCCAAUUUUUCACCUUCCAUAAUUGUGUUAGGAGCACGUUUCAGGGCACGGGGAGUCUAUAGAACCUAAUUAUGGGGGAAGUUUUUUGCAAAGUUUACUUAGGGCUUGGGUUAGGGUUAGGGUUGGAGCUAGGGUUAGGGUUAGGGUUAAGGUUGGAGCUAGGGUUAGGGUUAGGGUUAGGAUUAGGGUGGAGCUAGGGUUAGGGUUAGGGUUAGAGCUAGGGUUAGGGUUGGGGCUAGGGUUAGGGUUAGGGUUAGGGUUAAGGUUGGAGCUAGGGUUAGGGUUAGGGUUAGGGUUGGAGCCAGGGUUAGGGUUAGGGUUAGGGUUGGAGUUAGGGUUAGUGUUGGAGCUAGGGUUAGGGUUGGGCUUGGAGCUAGGAUUUUUCUGAGUGCAAUGAACCAACUCCCGAGUCUCUAGGACGUUCCUAAAAAAAUUUGAUUUUUUCCCAUAGGAAUGCAUGGGAAAAAAAAUUUGAAAAUUUUUUUAAGUGCCAACCCAAUUUUUCACCUUCCAGAAUUGUGUUAGGAGCACGUUUCAGGGCACGGGGAGUCUAUAGAACCUAAUUCUGGGGGAAGUUUUUUGAAAAGUUUACUUAGGGUUUGGGUUAGGGUUAGGGUUGGAGCUAGGGUUAGGGUUAGGGUUAAGGUUGGAGCUAGGGUUAGGGUUAGGGUUAGGGUUGGAGCUAGGGUUAGGGUUAGGGUUAGAGCUAGGGUUAGGGUUAGGGUUGGGGCUAGGGUUAGGGUUAGGGUUAGGGUUAAGCGUCAGGUACCAUGGAGCGACAGAGUUGGUUUAUUCUCCCAGAGCAAACAGUCUGUUUUUUUUUGUUGUUGGCUAUUUAGCAAAAACUCCAAGGAAAAAUCUGAGAAAGUAUGAACUGAUCUGAGUUUUGAAUUUUCAGAGAGCAUUGAGAUGCAUAAAAAAUGUACGCAUCAUUUUUUUUAACAUCCAACCUCACAAGAUUUAAAAUACUAGAAGAAGAGCAUGAUAACAAGCAGCUGGAGAGAACUAUCCUCACUCUGAAGAGCCUGUCAGACACACAGUGGGCCUUUCGUAAGCAGACCACUGAAGCCCUGAUCCUGAUCCUCCCUGCCAUUGUUGCAACCCUGCAACGUGUCAAACACCAGACCAGCAGCACAUCUCGACAGCCUCUAAAGCUGAUGGCCUGCUGACAAAACCAUUUGAAUUCAUUUUAAUUGAAUUCAUUAAUGGUUGGGGAAAUAUUGGACUUUCUGUAGCCCCCCUAAGAAUGCUGCAAAUAUCUCUGCCCCUGCUAACAUCUUUUGUUAAACAUCUACAGCGUUAUUACUUUAGGCAGUUUUAAAUAAGUAAUAAAAGAGAUAAUGUCAAAAACUAAUAGACAGUUUCCUUUUCAUUGUAGGCACUCACGGCUUUCAUUGUUGGUUGAUUCUGUGAGAAUUUUGUGCCACUUUUGUGUGCUUCAGCGGCUGAUGUAGCAACAUAGAGGCUUGUGGGUACAACAACAAUGAGCUACAAUUCCAUCAGGAGCACUCAUGGCCAAGGCCAGCUCAGUACAGACUUUCCAAUUUCUUUAUUUCCUACAUAGUAGCCACACACAGGCACACUGCACCUUUGGAGCAUCCCUUAUCUUGACUAACAUUAUGUCUAUUUAAUCAAUUUACGCAGCUUGGAAAAUAGGUGUGGGAUUUAACAGAUCCCCUCCUCUCUUGUAUGCCUUUUAAACCUCUCUGGUUAGAGAGGAGAAGAUAGAGUCUCUUUAAAUUAGUUUUUUAAUUUUUUAUCUGCACACUUUUGAUGCACAUGGAGGUCUUAUUACAUGAAAUUAUCAUAAAGAUUGGUUCUGGUCAAGUUUAUAUUUAUAAAUUUACUAGAAAAGAGAGACCACGUGGAGCGGAAAGGGAUGCUGUUUCUAGUUAGCCAGGUUUAUAAAUAGCCAUAAGCUACAACAAGAACAGCAGGAAGGUAAUAUAUACCUGCAUAUAUUAUGUGUAUGGUGUGAAGGUUUAAAGCAACUCCAUGCAAGAAGUGUAAUCAAGUGCAGUCAUCCAACAAGCUUUUCAUAGAUCUUUCAACCACUUAUAACACCACUUGAUAAUGAAGGACCAUUCAACCACUAUAUAUUCUCUUUUUCUGUACUCUCGUGGUGAUGGUGUUACAGGCAGAAUCCAACAGCUCACUACAAAAUUCACUGUGUUCAGCAAAGUGUGCAUUUGGUGCCUGCAUGCACAGUCUGACAUGAUGAACUCUGUAAAACCAUCUUGGCCACCUCCUAAUAUAACAAACAUAAUCUGAAGAUUGUUGGGAUGAAUUUUAUUCAAUGAUUUUCUCUCUGCAGAGUAAAUUAACCUUUUCAAUUUAAACACGAGUUUGCUCAUUUUUGUCUCUGAAUGCUUUUCUUUUUACAGAGCAUAAUCUAGAUGGUAUGAUAAUGAUUUUAUUGAAUCAGCCCAUGGCCUUUCCUGAACUUGAUCCUCAUUAGAAGUUAUCAAAUAUACAUUAAGUUAUGGUCUUUUUGCUGUUAUUCCUUAGAGCACCAAAAAGGCACUGUGAGGAGUUUUUAACUAAUUUUGAAGGGGGUCUAACUGGUUUAUGCUUCUGUGCCAGAGUGGCUGACGUUGUAUUGAGCACUACGUACGUCUGCGUUGGAGUGUUCGCACCAGUCUGCAAUACUUAACUGAAAGGUCCCAUAUCAUACUCCUUUUCAGCAGGUUCACAUCGGUCUCAGAACAGUCAAUUUGAAGUUUGUUGUCUAAAAAAGAAAGGCUCCUGAAGAAAUUCCAACUGUGUCUGCAGCAGGACAUUUCUGAAUGGUUACUUAGAAGUAUUAUGUGUCUCCACAUUUUUCUUUGUACUUUGUUCGUGUGUUGGUACACAGUGACUAACAUGUAGCUAGGUAACAUUAGUUCAUGCUAAUGGUUACAUCUCCGCUGUCUUCUCGUUACUUGGAGCUCUUUUGGUGAAUGCACAAUAUUGUAAGUAUAGUUAUUUCUGGUGACCAUGUUCUUUCAGUCUACGGAAACAGACUUCUGUGCUGAUUUGUGCAGCCAACAAACUUGGCUGGGGAUACAUAUUAUUGUUAGAAAAGCAUUCUAAAGUGAAUUUUGCGUAAUGUGGGACCUAUAAAUAAUAGUUGCCUGUAAGAAGGAGGGCUGCCAGUUUAUUUUCCAUCUGUGGUGUAGUUCCCCAUGUCCUUCCUCAAAGGACCCCAUUAAGACAUCUAUCAAAACUCAGAUCUUUUAGUGUUUUGACUGUCUGUUCAGUGCUGUUGAUUGACUAACGUGUCUACUGAGGUCAAGAUUGACCUGGAUUGGCCAGGUCAUUAUGAGAGCGCCAUCUGCUGGAUCAUAUGAGAGCUACUUCAGGCGGCCUGAUGCUGGUAUACUGAAUAAUUACGUAUUUGAAUGGCUCAUUGAAAUUCAAAUAUAUGGCAUACUUUUCAUAUCACUGAUUUAUGUUGAUUGUUUCUGUCCAGGCAACUGAGCCCAGCAUGAUAUGCUAGGUUCAGUUUGACAAGCCAUAUUAAAAGGUUGGGAUUUUAGCAACAUCUGAAAACAUCUUUGAAAAAAAAAAAAAAAAGGAAUGCAUUUACCAAAUUGAUCUCGGAAGAUAUACUUUUUCAAGUGCAGAACUACUAUGCAAAUGUGGCAAAAUACAGUUACACAAGCCAUAUUUGAAAACCAAGUUUUUGAAUGGAGACGUAGUGGUUAAACUGUAUGUAAAUGUGACAUUGAGUACAUUUAGAUGUUGUUUGAAAUAAUUGGUUAUAGCAUUAGUCUGACCGAACAGAUCAUCAUGUAAUCAUUAAAGGUACACACACCUCUUGCUUACAUGUUUCUCAUGAUCUCAAUUUAAUCCACAUAUCAGCCAUGGAGCUGAAAUGACUGUGUUAUUAACAGAACACAACAUCUCUAAAGGUCCUCUGUAAGGGUGAUGAACUGCAGUACUUUUAAAUUCUCCAACAGACAAUCAUAACUCGACUAAAGCUGCCAUGAAAAGUCUUAUGAAGUGCUCACAAUCAAUGGUAUAACUCUGGAUUUUUACCAUUUAUACUGGCAAGCAGGCUGUAAAACCAGCAUCGAGUUCAUCAGUCCAAAACCACUGGUAAGUUAACAAAGAAUGGGGAGUAAAUCCAAAUUGGAGAUACUUCAAUUAGUUCCACUGAGUUGAAUAUACUAGCUCCGACUGAAAUAUACAGUACCAAACUCCUGGCCUUCUACAGAUGUGGAUUAUUUGAAGUGAGUCUGUUUGACUGGAAUCAGGCUCUCUGGGCUGGCAGCCAUUUCUGCUCAGACCAAUAUUUGAUGGAUUUCCUCCCUCAAGACUCCUAAUUAUUGCCCUUUAAAAACCCCUCAUCCUUAGUAAUGUUGUUUAAAAUUCAUGGUGCCUUUAACAGCUUGAUUCCCACAAAGAGCCAUGGGCUGCCACACACUGCUCUCCAGCUGAAGAAAUGUGAACCAAUGCCCCGGAUAACUGCUCUGUGUUCAGCAUUCAUCAAGAUAUAAAAACAUAGAUGCUGCCUGUGAACACAACAAUGGAAGUAGGAGAUGCUCAUGACGGUCAUCAGUUUUCAAGUAAAGAAUGUUGAUCUCAGUGAAAAUUGAGUUUCUCUUCUGUUCUGAUGAAAUUUUCCUGAACUCUGCACUUUUAAAACAGCUUAUUGGAGCACUUUGGGAAAACCUACGUGUACUGUCCUGGUUCAAAGUCGAGUAGUCCAAAUGAACUGAAGUGUCCUCACUCCUCCCAUUUGAUGUACGAUGCUCCGGGCGCUGACUUCUGGGUGAACUUGGAGAG